This 211-nucleotide ribosomal RNA is filed under the name uncultured bacterium. Its description in RNAcentral is "partial 16S ribosomal RNA". It matches the Rfam family "Bacterial small subunit ribosomal RNA", at positions 123 to 334 of the family's 1533-position model. The record is from RNAcentral.
CACCUACCCAUUACUGGAGGAUAGCCCGAAGAAAUUCGGAUUAAUACUCCAUAGUAUAGUGAAGAGGCAUCUCUUUAUUAUUAAAACUACGGUGGUAAUGGAUGGGCAUGCGUUGCAUUAGCUAGUUGGUGAGGUAAUGGCUCACCAAGGCUACGAUGCAUAGGGGAUCUGAGAGGAUUAUCCCCCACACUGGUACUGAGACACGGACCAG